RNAcentral lists this ribosomal RNA (438 nucleotides) under uncultured bacterium. RNAcentral describes it as "bacterial SSU rRNA". It matches the Rfam family "Bacterial small subunit ribosomal RNA", at positions 339 to 794 of the family's 1533-position model. The record is from RNAcentral.
GUACGGGAGGCAGCAGUGGGGAAUAUUGCACAAUGGGGGAAACCCUGAUGCAGCGACGCCGCGUGAAGGAAGAAGUAUCUCGGUAUGUAAACUUCUAUCAGCAGGGAAGAAAAUGACGGUACCUGACUAAGAAGCCCCGGCUAACUACGUGCCAGCAGCCGCGGUAAUACGUAGGGGGCAAGCGUUAUCCGGAUUUACUGGGUGUAAAGGGAGCGUAGACGGAGCAGCAAGUCUGAUGUGAAAGGCGGGGGCUCAACCCCUGGACUGCAUUGGAAACUGUUGGUCUUGAGUACCGGAGAGGUAAGCGGAAUUCCUAGUGUAGCGGUGAAAUGCGUAGAUAUUAGGAGGAACACCAGUGGCGAAGGCGGCUUACUGGACGGUAACUGACGUUGAGGCUCGAAAGCGUGGGGAGCAAACAGGAUUAGAUACCCCGGUAGA